UACGUAGGGGGCAAGCGUUGUUCGGAAUUACUGGGCGUAAAGGGCGCGUAGGCGGCAUGGCAAGUCGGGAGUGAAAGGCCUGGGCUCAACCGAGGAACUGCUUUCGAGACUGCCAAGCUAGAGUGCGGAAGGGGCAUCUGGAAUUCCCAGUGUAGCGGUGAAAUGCGUAGAUAUUGGGAGGAACACCAGUGGCGAAGGCGGCUACCUGGACCGGUUCUGACGCUGAGGCGCGAAAGCCAGGGGAGCAAACGGG
RNAcentral lists this ribosomal RNA (253 nucleotides) under uncultured bacterium. Its description in RNAcentral is "partial 16S ribosomal RNA". It matches the Rfam family "Bacterial small subunit ribosomal RNA", at positions 524 to 776 of the family's 1533-position model. The record is from RNAcentral.